RNAcentral lists this ribosomal RNA (138 nucleotides) under uncultured eukaryote. Its description in RNAcentral is "partial 18S ribosomal RNA". It matches the Rfam family "Eukaryotic small subunit ribosomal RNA", at positions 1299 to 1458 of the family's 1831-position model. The record is from RNAcentral.
UGGUGGAGUGAUUUGUCUGGUUAAUUCCGAUAACGAACGAGACCUUAACCUGCUAAAUAGCCCGGCCGACUUUGGUUGGUCGCUGGCUUCUUAGAGGGACUAUCGACGUCUAGUCGAUGGAAGUUUGAGGCAAUAACA